GUCAGGCUGUUUCCCAAAGCAAGCUGCAUUGCCGCGCUGCAGGUGGCGAAGGCUCGGGCUCGGAGCUCGCCGCGGCUCUUCAAGGGUUGCCAAGCGCGCGCCAAAGCGCUCCGCCUCAGACCUGGUUCCUCUUCGCACCCGGGGCAAACGCGGCCGUGUCCCUGCAUCGGGUCUACUUCGCAAGCACUUUUCCUCCGGAAAGCGGGAAACCGCGGGAUUUGGGUGUCGGGCCACAAACAGCUCGCAGGUUCUUGUGAAGAAAACAACGUAGAUCAAAGAUAGACAGCUCUUCAGAUGUUUUGGAUUAUAGCUUGCUCUAUCUCCUGAGUUGGCGUGCUGGGGUUGAUAGCAGUUGAAGCUGGAAGCAUCUGCUGCGUUCCAGGUUUGUCUAUGUCUGCUUCAGAUUUAAAGCCAAAAUAAAAACAGUGCUGCAUAUCAUGAAAGGAAUGUGUUGUCUGGCACUUUAUUUUUAAAAUAAAAUACCUACAUUUCUCAAAAUAAAGCCUUUUUUCUUUUUAAGCCUCUUCCUUUGCAUUAAUCUACUUGUUAGUUUUAGCUAUCUAUCUCUCAACUCACAUUGUUCACAACAUCAUGUUAUCAUUAAGCAUUCU
Molecule: long non-coding RNA, 611 nt
Filed under: Naja naja (Indian cobra)
Lineage: Eukaryota; Metazoa; Chordata; Lepidosauria; Squamata; Elapidae
Description: lncRNA (ENSNNAG00000015962.1)
Source: RNAcentral